GCCCCGGAGCCCACACAUCCCCUACGACCAUGAAAUCUUGUAUGAGUGGAUCAAUCCGGUUUAUUUGGACAUGGACUCCCAAGCUCAAAUCCAGGAGGAAUUUGAGGAGCGAUCAGAAAUUCUCCUGAAGGAUUUUCUACAGACUCUACGAGGCGGCGGAAGAAGACAGCCUCCCCGACAUCCUGAAGAAAUUCCUGCAGUUCCUACGCUCCGAGGCUUUGUUUUUACUGCUUUCCAACUUCACCGGCCUAAAGCUCCACUUCCUGGCUCCCUCUG
Long non-coding RNA from Calidris pugnax (ruff), 276 nucleotides. RefSeq lists it as uncharacterized. NCBI's taxonomy places the organism in Eukaryota, Metazoa, Chordata, Aves, Charadriiformes, Scolopacidae. The record is from RefSeq and is a predicted model, not a curated record. The transcript has 3 exons.